UGAUAAUAAACAUAGCUUAAUAGGAUGUGACGGGUUAUCAUAGCUUAAAAUACAUUUUUAAAUAUGUGCUUUGAUUUUAUAUUGAACAGGUUCAAGAUGAGUCGUUCCAUGUACGUGGCUGAAUUUGACGAGUAAGAUGUCUACCUACAAUUUGAUAUGCUUCUUUGUUUCAUUGGAGAAGGUUUCACUGAAGCUAUGAUUUGAUUUAUGGUGCCUAAUUUUAGCCUAACGAUUAUUUCUUGCUUUUUGUAAUGUAUGGGUUGAAUUCUUAUUUGGGAGAGUUGCCUGGGGGUUAUCAUGAGGUCAUUAAAGGAGAGUUACUUACUUGUGCUUGUAAGUAUUUCCUUUGACUAUGUAUUUACUUUUUGUUGACUUUUCCCCUACCUCUGCCACCUUUUGUUGUUUAACAGUUCGGAGAUCGUUUCAUAAUGUACCGUAUUGCAUUGUAUUAUAUUGUAGUGUAUCGUUUGAUGAAUACAAUGUUUAGAUAAAUUGUAUCAUUUGUUGUUGUUUCAUGAUAUUACGUACCAGUAAUAUCAUGACCUAAUGUGUCUUUGAGUUACUAGUCC
Molecule: long non-coding RNA, 569 nt
Filed under: Nicotiana tabacum (common tobacco)
Lineage: Eukaryota; Viridiplantae; Streptophyta; Magnoliopsida; Solanales; Solanaceae
Description: long non-coding RNA (NTAB_LNC011812)
Source: RNAcentral